GGAGGGAUCAUUACAGAGUUGCAAAACUCCCUAAACCAUUGUGAACGUUACCUAUACCGUUGCUUCGGCGGGCGGCCCCGGGGUUUACCCCCCGGGCGCCCCUGGGCCCCACCGCGGGCGCCCGCCGGAGGUCACCAAACUCUUGAUAAUUUAUGGCCUCUCUGAGUCUUCUGUACUGAAUAAGUCAAAACUUUCAACAACGGAUCUCUUGGUUCUGGCAUCGAUGAAGAACGCAGCGAAAUGCGAUAAGUAAUGUGAAUUGCAGAAUUCAGUGAAUCAUCGAAUCUUUGAACGCACAUUGCGCCCGCCAGUAUUCUGGCGGGCAUGCCUGUUCGAGCGUCAUUUCAACCAUCAAGCCCCCGGGCUUGUGUUGGGGACCUGCGGCUGCCGCAGGCCCUGAAAAGCAGUGGCGGGCUCGCUGUCGCACCGAGCGUAGUAGCAUACAUCUCGCUCUGGUCGCGCCGCGGGUUCCGGCCGUUAAACCACCUUUUAACCCAAGGUUGACCUCGGAUCAGGUAGGAAGACCCGCUGAACUUAAGCAUAUCAAUAAGCGGAGGAAAAGAAACCAACAGGGAUUGCCCUAGUAACGGCGAGUGAAGCGGCAACAGCUCAAAUUUGAAAUCUGGCUUCGGCCCGAGUUGUAAUUUGCAGAGGAAGCUUUAGGCGCGGCACCUUCUGAGUCCCCUGGAACGGGGCGCCAUAGAGGGUGAGAGCCCCGUAUAGUUGGAUGCCUAGCCUGUGUAAAGCUCCUUCGACGAG
Molecule: ribosomal RNA, 759 nt
Filed under: fungal sp.
Lineage: Eukaryota; Fungi
Description: eukaryotic LSU rRNA
Rfam family: Eukaryotic large subunit ribosomal RNA (bases 502-759)
Source: RNAcentral